CCACACGCCCACGUAUACCUCACACCCCUCUCUCUUCUAUUCGAUCGCAUCUCCUACGCAGCCGUAGCUCCUUGGCUGUCCUCUGUAUAGAGCCUGGGGCAACAGAGAAGCGUUUAUUGCGCGCUUUCUCUGCUGUUAUUUGUUCUACGUCUCAUUCUUCUUCAUCGGCUUAUUCCUCCGCCUCCUCUCAGCCUGCACCGUGUGGCGCAGGUGAGUCAACUGCUCGCGCUAGCGUGGUAGAGCUUCCUUCUCUUACCCCCUCCCCCGCCUCGGGCACGGUACGAGCUGUCUUCAUUGCUCGCACGGCGUGGGAGUCUCAAGCUAGGAUUGGUGUCUCUGCGUCUCUCGUACUCUCGCGAGAAAAGGAAAGCCUAGCAUUGGUGAGGGUGCUCAGGGGAGGGGCUUACCGUUGCUGUUUCCGUGCUGGGGCUUCGACUCUUGAGGGGAGGAGUGUCAACCACGCCCGCUUCUCGUCCAUCGCGCGCUGUGGAUCUUGUGUUGGCCCCACCCAGUGACGCCUUUAUUGAGGUGGUUCAUUUUUCUUCCGCUGACGGCUUCUCACCCCCUCCUCCCUUUUUCAGAGGUCGCGGUCAACUCCGUCGCGCGUUGGCGACGGGUGGCCUGGGAGUGCGUGGUUUUGUGUGCUAGGAAUGCUCGGCUGUUCCUUCUUCCUUUUUUUCUCUCUGUCGGCGAUUGGCACCUCUAG
Molecule: unclassified non-coding RNA, 706 nt
Filed under: Leishmania donovani
Lineage: Eukaryota; Euglenozoa; Kinetoplastea; Trypanosomatida; Trypanosomatidae
Description: gene:unknown
Source: RNAcentral